RNAcentral lists this ribosomal RNA (200 nucleotides) under uncultured bacterium. Its description in RNAcentral is "partial 16S ribosomal RNA". It matches the Rfam family "Bacterial small subunit ribosomal RNA", at positions 8 to 207 of the family's 1533-position model. The record is from RNAcentral.
AGAGUUUGAUCCUGGCUCAGAUUGAACGCUGGCGGCGUGCCUAACACAUGCAAGUCGAGCGGUAACGCGGGAGCAAUCCUGGCGACGAGCGGCGAACGGGUGAGUAAUGCUUCGGAAUCUACCCAAUGGUGGGGAAUAACCAGCCGAAAGGUUGGCUAAUACCGCAUAAGACCCACGGGUGAAAGCAGGGGAUCGCAAGA